GAAUUACUAAGUAGGAGACGUUUUAAUUUUUUUUUUAUUCAAAACCAGAAAAUUAUAAGGGACAAUGUUAUACCCACAACGUUAGACAUGGGCUGUGCUAUCCACAAUUUUCCGCAUCAAACGGCAAAGAUGAGGUCUGUAACCCUAUAAACAACUGACGGUUGUAAUUCCCGCCAUCAGCAGAACUACCGGACUGAACCAAGCUCCCGAUCAUAGAUAACGGACUGAGCUUCCAGAAGGGCCACCAAUGGCAGCUCUUAACCUUCGCAUCGCUACCUCCACCCUCUCGUCCGUACAAUGCCAAUAACUAGAACCACUCCCAGCAUUGGUCCCCUUCCAAAAUUAUAUAUUUUCAUUUUCUUUUUUUUUUUCCUCUUCCGAUUUUUGUUAUUUCUUUAUGCGAAGGAGGAUCCAGGGGGGUUAUUUGGUCCUCCACAGAAGGGCCACCUCACCCGACGCGAGUUCCAAAGACUCAUAGAGCUACGCCGUCGCUCGCGAAGCCCUUGAGCAACAUGCCUGCGAAGAGAGAGGGCGUCGCCGAGCUCUUCGCCAAAUUGAAUUAGGAAUUUUUUAGCAUCUACAAUCUGGUUCAGCUUUGGUUUGCUGUUUCAAAAACAGAGGAUAUGGAGGACUGAUUGAGCUGGAAGCACUACAGAAGGUUCUGAUGGAAGGCACAGAAACGUAUGAUAAAAUGCAAGGUGAACUUUGUGAAGGAAAGGAACAGCUUAACCAAAAUCUUGACAUCAAAGGAUGUGAAAGCAACUAUAUGCAUUACUAUUUUCACUCAUGCAGCCUUCAAUUUAUUUACUUUACUAUUUUGUGCUGCAUAAUUAUGUUCGCUAUAUGGCUUCGUCUAUUUAUGCUAGUUGUUGGAGAUGGUUGAGCAGAAGGAACUCAAUAGAUCCUUGUUGACACUUCUUGAUGAAAAUAUAGCAAGCGCUCAUCAAAGUAACCAGAAUGGAAAAUCUUCGUGCAGCUAUGCUCAAGUACAUGACAGUUUAGCACUCAGAUGGUGAAUAAUAUUUCCCUUUCUGGUUGAAUGCAUUAUGGAGAUGAGUAUUGUUUUAGUUUUCGUUGGGUAGGUUAAAUUUUGAACCAAAAAGUUGAAAGAAUAUAUGAAUUAUUGUAUAGAGUCAUGCUUAUUGCUUAGUGACUACUUUUUUACAUAUGCUUGCAUUGUAGCCCCUGACACUAGAUUGAAAAUGGUACUGAAAUACAAAUUUUUGCCACAAAUGUUUUUGUGGAACAUUGUUAUGCUUAAGAUUGAUUUCAUGUGAACUGAAAUAGAAAUGAUACUCAGAUGCCUGAACCAUCAUAGCAUGUGCAUGCAUUCAUCACGAACGGUGGAAUUGAACCCUUAUGACGAAUAGUUAUACAAAACGAGUGCAUUCAGUUGGAAAGCAAUUAAAAGACGAUAAGUUCCAAGCAAUACAGUAUUGUUUAGUGAACUUCAAUAAUGAGUUUCUGUUAUAGGCUGACUUGUUUCUAGAAAGCUGCUAUAGGGGAGGGUAUCUGGUUGAUCUGGAGACUGAUUGUGGGAAAGAGUGAAGCCUUGUCUCUCAGUUGUAAGAAACAAGAACAAUUUGCAGGGCAUUUUGACUUGCAAAGUGGCACCAAAUUGCCAAUCAGGCAGUUAUUUAAAACUAGCUGCUUGCCCGUUAGCUAAAACGAUAAGGUGUCAACCCUUGAUUGUCCCUACAAAAUGAUAAAACAAAAAGAUUCCUGUAGGCCCCAACCAAGGUUCAACAUUACUGGACUACUAUUUAUGAUAAUCAGAAACUGCUCACAUGGUUGAUGCAUUGGCAUCCUCAACGGUGGAGUUCCUCCUAGCCAAUUUCUUGAUUACAUAGUCAAUAUGAAAAUGCAUAUUGCAAAGGCUGUUGCUGGAUUUACUUGGAAGGCACAUAAAACAAGGACAUGGGUUUUGAUGGUUUACUUUUGAAAUGCAAGACAUACACUUGGUAGACUUGGACUAAAUCAUCAAGUGUAUGCUUGUGCAUUUGUAUUUAUAUAUUAAAUGCAAGAGGUUAUCUGUGUACUGUACAAUCGCUCCAUUUUCCUCCUUGGAUCCUUCAUAGAUUCAAUGAGUAGGAUCUGAAAUCUGUAUUAGAUAUUUAGCUAUGUCAGUUGACUUGCAUAUAAGUUACAACUUGAUUAGAUCAAAAUAUUUUGGUGAGUUACUUCACGAUAAUUUAUUUAGGCCAUUGACUAGCAUUUUCAUCCUUCAUCGUGCUUGGAUGCCCAAUCUUGUUUUUAUGGUGUUUUUGUCCCAAACUGUACCGGUCUCUGUGUGUUUAAGUCCACUGAGUGCAUUGUGGAGGUUAGGCACGUGUAGACACACACAAAGAUCUUCAUUAAUUAGGUAGACUACAGUAUUCGAAGGAAAAGUAAAAACCUGGAUGCUUUCAAUUCUU
RNA transcript from Hevea brasiliensis (rubber tree), 2414 nucleotides. RefSeq lists it as uncharacterized. The transcript is spliced from 7 exons. The record is from RefSeq and is a predicted model, not a curated record. Lineage: Eukaryota; Viridiplantae; Streptophyta; Magnoliopsida; Malpighiales; Euphorbiaceae.